RNAcentral lists this transfer RNA (87 nucleotides) under Escherichia fergusonii ATCC 35469. RNAcentral's name for it is "tRNA-OTHER". Lineage: Bacteria; Pseudomonadati; Pseudomonadota; Gammaproteobacteria; Enterobacterales; Enterobacteriaceae. The record is from RNAcentral.
CCGCCAUUAGCUCAUCAGGAAGAGCAAACGACAAACGACAAAAGGAUUGUUGGAAGGUACGGGGUUCGAGGCCUCGAUGGCGGUCCA